GUGGGGAAUAUUGCACAAUGGGGGAAACCCUGAUGCAGCAACGCCGCGUGAAGGAAGACGGUCUUCGGAUUGUAAACUUUUGUUCUUGGUGAAGAAAAAUGACGGUAGCCAAGGAGGAAGCCACGGCUAACUACGUGCCAGCAGCCGCGGUAAUACGUAGGUGGCAAGCGUUGUCCGGAAUUACUGGGUGUAAAGGGAGCGCAGGCGGGAAAUCAAGUUGGAUGUGAAAUGUCGGGGCUUAACCCCGGAACUGCAUCCAAAACUGAUAUUCUUGAGUGAAGUAGAGGUAGGCGGAAUUCCGAGUGUAGCGGUGAAAUGCGUAGAUAUUCGGAGGAACACCAGUGGCGAAGGCGGCCUACUGGGCUUUAACUGACGCUGAGGCUCGAAAGUGUGGGGAGCAAACAGGAUUAGAAACCCUGGUAGUCC
RNAcentral lists this ribosomal RNA (426 nucleotides) under uncultured bacterium. RNAcentral describes it as "bacterial SSU rRNA". It matches the Rfam family "Bacterial small subunit ribosomal RNA", at positions 354 to 796 of the family's 1533-position model. The record is from RNAcentral.